This 85-nucleotide transfer RNA is filed under the name Leucothrix mucor. RNAcentral's name for it is "tRNA-Leu". It matches the Rfam family "tRNA". From Rfam's summary of the family: Transfer RNA (tRNA) molecules are approximately 80 nucleotides in length. Their secondary structure includes four short double-helical elements and three loops (D, anti-codon, and T loops). Lineage: Bacteria; Pseudomonadati; Pseudomonadota; Gammaproteobacteria; Thiotrichales; Thiotrichaceae. RNAcentral also lists the same sequence under 8 other names. The record is from RNAcentral.
GCGAAAGUGGCGGAAUUGGUAGACGCGCUGGAUUUAGGUUCCAGUAUCGCAAGAUGUGAGAGUUCGAGUCUCUCCUUUCGCACCA